UUCUGCUUGCCUGUCUGUCUGUGCCUGGGCAGCUGACUACUUAAACACUGGACUUCAAAGGUUUGGCAACACCAACAAAUCAAUAUGCUACGUGUCUCACUCUGAGAGACAAAUGAGUAACGACUACAUGUUAUUUUAUACUGUGUUAUAUGUUUUAUACCUGGGAAGUUUAUGCUGCACAUGUCCCCCGCUGGAUGGUACUUAAGGGAAGUUAUCAAAUUCUACAGUUUAAUCUCUGGAACAGAUUUACGUGGUGGAACUACAACUCCCAUAAUGCUUUGGACGUUAACAAGAAGCGUUACCUUGGGGUCAAUGAGUUAACUAUGGGGUGCAAUUGGAGCCCUGUCUUUCUUAAAGCCUAUAUUUGGUUACAUUGUGCAAAGUGGCAACAUUAAAAACAUUCCGAAUUAGCUAUUAGAAGUUCCCGAUUGUAAAGUACCCAUUGAUGUGAAGAGAACUAUCACUAACUUACUCUUAUACCGAAGAAAACCGAAAAAUGGGAGGAUUCUUGGACAAGUUCGGAUAGAGCGUUUUAUUUCUUAGAUUCCCAGGAAGUUAGACAUUUAUCUGCAAUCGGGGCCGGGUGUACGCAGGGGCGAGAGGGGCAACCCGUCGUGUGUCGUCAUCUGUCAUGGCCGCAGAGAGGCGGAGAAACGAAGUCGGAGAACAUAUUUAAACCGAAGUUCGACUCUUAAGCUCGGUUUGUCAGUACUGUGAGAAAACUUAAUUACCGAAGAAGCCUGGAUGUUAAAAAAAAGCUGUGAGCUGCUUUUUUGUCGAACACGAGUGAGGCUGGACGCUGGACGCACCUGUGGCGCGACGGUGUCAUCCCUUCAUCCAUGACAUUGUGCACGAUCGCCAAGACAUCGUCCAUGACUGCAACGUGGUCCGUAAUUGGAGAGGCAUUGUUGAGGAAGAGGGAGACGUUGUCCAUGAUCAGACACAUUAUCCAUGACCUGCACAGACAUGUGCAAAAGUUGAUGGUGACAGAGUUCCCCGAUUUUAUGGAAUUGUCCAUGAUCAUAGUUACAUUGUCUGUGAUCACAGAGCUGUAGCCCAUGAUCAGAGACAUCAUCCAUGAUCACAGAGAAUCUUUGUACAGUGAAGAAGUUCUCUGAGACCAGGACAGAUGCCUCCAGGUGUCUCCACUUCGUCCACAACAUCGUUCAUGAACACUGAGACGUCAUCCACGAUCACAGAGACAUGGUCCAUGAUCGGAGAGACAUUGUUGAGGAUGAGGGAGACAUUGUCCACGAUCUGAGACAUUGUCCGUAAUCGCAGAGACCUUGUCAAAGAUGAGAGAGACGUUGUCCAUGAUCAGAGACAUUGUCCCAUGCUUCGUAGAGACCUUGCGAUAGAAUCGGCGGAGACGGGGGUCACCGAUUUGACGGCAUUGCCCGCGAUCAUGGAGACAUUGUCAAUGAUCACAGAGACACCGUCUAUGAUCUCAGAGACAUCGUCCACGAUUACAAACACAUUGUCCAUGAUCGCAGAGAUAUUGUCCAUAAUCUCAGAGACAUUGUCCGCGAUCACAGAGACGUAGUCCACGAUCAGAGAGACGUCGUCCACGAUCGCAGAGAGUCUUUGUACAAUGAAGAAGUUCUUUCAGACUGGGACAGAGACCUCCAGGUGUCUCCACUUCGUCCACAACAUCGUUCAUGAACACUGAGACGUCAUCCACGAUCACAGAGACAUGGUCCAUGAUCGGAGAGACAUUGUUGAGGAUGAGGGAGACAUUGUCCACGAUCGGAGACAUUGUCCGUAAUCGCAGAGACCUUGUCAAAGAUGAGAGAGACGUUGUCCAUGAUCAGAGACAUUGUCCCAUGCUUCGUAGAGACCUUGCGAUAGAAUCGGCGGAGACGGGGGGUCACCGAUUUGACGGCAUUGCCCGCGAUCAUGGAGACAUUGUCAAUGAUCACAGAGACACCGUCUAUGAUCUCAGAGACAUCGUCCACGAUUACAAACACAUUGUCCAUGAUUGCAGAGAUAUUGUCCAUAAUCUCAGAGACCUUGUCCGCGAUCACAGAGACGUAGUCCACGAAUCAGAGAGACAUCGUCCACGAUCGCAGAGAGUCUUUGUACAAUGAAGAAGUUCUUUCAGACUGGGACAGAGGCCUCUAGGAGGAGGAGACAACAGCGGCUGAAGUGGACCUGAAGUGGAUGAAAGAAAAAAGUAUCACAAAGCUGUUAAUUUGAUAAAAGACUUCUACCAGCUAACUGCUGUAAACAGUGCUGGUUUCCUAUUGUUCAAGUGAAAACACGUUUUUUCUCUGCCAACUGUAAUUUUUUUUUUCCCUUUCUUAAACGCCAUCGAGAAUAUUCAACAACUGUAUCACAAGCAGUUAAAUUAUCACAAAGAUGCUUAGUAGACAUAUUCAUCUUUGGAAAAUGUCACUACCUUAACUAACCAACUCCAACAAGUGUUUCCUCUGAAAUAUCUGUCUUUAUCUUUGCUGUGAUUUGUUAAGUGUUGUCUGGAAUAAAAUUGAGUUACAUUUCUCCAUUUUGUAACCAAAGUUAUACAAAUUUGUUUUAAUUUUCAGAACUACUUUUACAAAUACUUUUAAAAGGUUUUACACUCAUUGUUCAGACAUAGUUUUUAGAUUUUUAAAUUAAUUUCAAAAAGUGUCAUAUUUAUGUUAUAUUUUAGUUAUAUAUACUUUUAAAAUCUGUGUAAAGCAGUUAUACUGAUGACAUUCUGAGUUAUCAA
Molecule: long non-coding RNA, 2710 nt
Organism: Lates calcarifer (barramundi perch)
Lineage: Eukaryota; Metazoa; Chordata; Actinopteri; Centropomidae
Exons: 5
Source: RefSeq, a predicted model, not a curated record